UUACAAUUUUUUUUCCUAUAAAUUUAAGUUGUUGUAAUUUUUAAAUUUAAAUAAUAAAUUAUGUUUGGCCCUUUGGUCCUCGGUUGGAGAUGGUUUUUUGUGACAGGGUUAUGUUUGGUCCUAUGGCCCGUUGGCCCUCGAUUGGAGAUGGUAAGAAAUAUGACCCUGCAUUGUUCAUUAAAAAAAUUAAUUUCUUGAAGGGCCAGAGGGCUAAAACAAGCCCUCUGGCCCUCCUUUGGUUGGAGAUGUCCUAAGUUUUUUCAUGCAAAAUCAUAUCAUGUUAUGGUCCUCUUCUGAUGGCUUGACUUAGAUUUAACUAUUUUAGAUUUAGUCUAGCAUCAAUGUCGAUGUUUAGUGAAUUUGUAUAUGCUGAGAUAAGAUUUUCCAAACUGGGUGACGGUCUGAUAUAUUAUUAUGUCUUACCAGUCUCAAUUAUGGUGUGUGACUCAAUAGGAUUAGAGUUAAACACAACUUCAAUCAUAUCAAAAGCUUGUUUGGAAGUACUUUUAAAAUGGUUAAAAGUGUAACACUUGGAAAAAAAAAAAUAUAUAUAUAUAUAUAUAAAUUAUAGGAGUAAGAUUAUUUUAGCUUUGAAAUAUUAAAAAAAAAAACAAAGAAACAGACAAAAGAUGAUCUAUACGUGUAGACAUCCCAACUUUUCUUCUUCUUCCCAACCAUCACACGGUGGGAAACCAAGAUAAUCAAAUUCUAUCCAUAAAUGUUGGGGGUGAUGUGGGUAGUCUAGGGGGAGUGAGUAAGCAUCUAAAACAAAGAUGCAAUGAUGGGAUUAGGGAGAGCAUUUCUAACUCUCACUGAAGAACUAGAGGAGAACGAGAGCUUUUGGAAAGGGAAAAGUAGGAAAUCGGAAGAGGGGAACUGAGAGGGUGCCAGGUGUGUUUUUCAAUUGGUACAAAAGUUUUGAGGGAUGAAAAUGAAGCUUGGUUCAUCACGAGGUUGUGACUGGGGUAUAUUUGAGUAAACUUUUGAUAGGCUGAAAUUGAAUCUUCAUUCUAGUUUUAUGCUAACUUUUAUUAUUAUUUAUGUGAUUUUUGGCCUGGGAGUGACUCCGGACACUUCGGAGGCUUAGAGAGGUAUUCUAGUUAGCUAGACUCGAGGUAGGGACUCUAUUUCCCGAUGAUAGGUCUAUAUCAUGUUUAAUCUUUGUGAUAUUAGUACUUAUAUCUAUUAUAGUAGUAGUGAAAUGUUUGGAUGAAAUUGGAUCUUUUGAUUUUCAUGGUUGUGUUAUGGGUUGAUGGUCUCUUUUCCGGUGUAUUUUAUACAUUGGCUAUGUUAAAUGCUGUUAUGUUUUGAUGAAUGGUUGAGCUAUGUAAAAUUGAUGGAUUGAAUAUGUUGAGGUUUACAAUUGUAUUUGAAAUCAAAAUGUUCAGGUUGCAUUACAUGUUAUAGAGUCAAGUGUUGGGUUGUGUAAAGUUGGUUAAACAAAGUGUUGAAAACUUAUAUAUGUUCAAGCGUCGGGUGAAGGGUUUGAACGUAUAGUUGGGCGUCGGGGGAAGGGCCCAUGUUAAUGAAACUGAAACUACUAAUAAAAUUCAGGGUUAAGGGAGGAAUGAGAGUUAACUUAUAUUCUAUGGUGUUUGAAACCAAGAGGUAUAAGCAUAGUAUGAGAUAUGCAGGUUUGGAUGCCAUAAAUAUAAGUUAGCGGGAUUAGAAGGGAGUGAGUUCAUGGGUACUUCUUUGUCAUAUCAUUUGUAUUUUACCGUAUUGUUUGAUGCAUGGCACUUUGAUUAACUAUGAUAAAUGAACUUGAAGGGUAUAUGGUUCCUAUUGGGCAUAAAAUGCUCACACCCUAUUAGCUAUUGCAUGUACUAGUAUGGGGGAACUUGAUGAUGACCUAUCUCUAAAUGAAUAGCCAUAUCAUGUGUGUGUUGAGUGUGUUGUAAGAGUUGCACUCUUUAAACUCAUGAUGUAUUAAAUAAACAGGUCUAAGUGAACUUUUAGAUGGCUCUGGUUCCAUCAUACUUUUGUUGUAAUAUUAAUUUUUUUUUUCUAAGAUACUAUUCAUGCCCUAAUUCGAUUAUCAUCCUUAUUUUCGAACUUGGGGUGUGACAAAAAGUUAUCUUUGGUGAAAAUGAUUUUUGGAACCAAUCUUUAAUAAAAAUGCAAGCGAAUCUUGAAAAAGCACUUUAAAGUGCUUUUGGAAUCCAAAAA
Long non-coding RNA from Pyrus x bretschneideri (Chinese white pear), 2169 nucleotides. RefSeq lists it as uncharacterized. The transcript is spliced from 3 exons. NCBI's taxonomy places the organism in Eukaryota, Viridiplantae, Streptophyta, Magnoliopsida, Rosales, Rosaceae. The record is from RefSeq and is a predicted model, not a curated record.